CGUUUUCAUUUCAGCGAAUGCAAUUUCAAAUCCAGACUCCGAACUGGCAAUGAUUUAUCAAUUUCACUGUCGAAGCAGUGAUUUCACUGUUAGAUCGUUUCUUCUAUUUAAAAAUCAACAACAUUUAUCUUUUUUCUCUUUCGAUUGCAAAAUGUAUUUCUUUUAUUGCUUUUCAAGUGAUUCGGAGCAUCGCAGGAUUUUUCUUACAUCAGUCCCUUAGAUGAUUUAUUUGCGUUUCAAAUCUGGUACAUAUUAAACUUAAUAUCUUAAUGGUGUCAGAUUAAAGGCUCUACAACGAAGCUAUCAUGAUUUAAUAUUGAUUUCUUUUUAAAGGAAAAACGAUAUGAUCUGCUUUAAUUCCAUUUACAUCUAGGAUGCUUAAAUGGAAUAUUAAAUCGACCCACUUCUCGGCUCGUACUUUGUUUUAUCGACCACGGAAGGAGGAACGGCAAAGUUGAUAUUGGAGAGGCUUGAACUUCGAAGACAGGCAUUUUGCCCGAUGUUCUACCGAUUCUAUUGAUCCAUUACAUAUAGAGCAUUUUUUUUUCUUUAUUUAAAAUAUUUGAGCGGUUCGGUGAAAGAAACCGAUAGAAUAAGUACCAGGUUUUUUUUAAUGUACUGGAGGUGAUUCGUUCGACUAAAACCCUUCAACGCGGUGCCCCAACAUGGUCGCACUCCAAUGAAUGAAACAAAUAUAAGAUAAAAGAUAAUGACUGAGACAUUCGAGGCUAAGGCCAUGGCCCUUUUCCAAAACUCCAGAAGAGAACAACUUCAGACUGGAGAUCAGUCUCAAAUUCUUGCAACAAAGAAGACCACUAAAAAACAUUGAAGAUGGUGGCGUUUAUUCAGUUGACGAAGUAUAAGGUCAGUAAUUCUGAGGGAAGAGGUCAGUUGAAACCAUCGAACCCAGUAAUUGACUGAUACUUCAUGUUAUCAAAACCGGGAGGAUGAAAAAGGAAGCUGACCGCAGCGGAAUUUCAACUCAACGUCUGAAGAGCCAAAAGGAAUACUGCAAGUACUAAAACAAAAAACAACAAAAAAAACUAGUCUCUUAACGCGCUAACCAUUCUGCAUUUCAAUGAUUGAUACAACGCAAUAAACAGCUUUUCGUUUCAAAACACACAACUAUUUAGUCUCACUCACUGACUUAAUAGUUCUGUUCCGUAAACAUUAGAAACCUGAACUCUCGAACCCUGACCACUUUUAGACCAUGAGUCAUAAACCUCGUCUUUGAACACACACACAUAGAUAUUAUAUAUACAGAUAUAUUAUCUCUCUCUCUCUAUAUAUAUAUAUAUAGAGAGAGAGAGGGGGGGAGAGCAAUAUUAUAAGAGUAGGCCGAUUUAUAGGAUUACCUUUGGUGGCGAAAAUAAAAAAUACGUACACCCGGUGCUUAGGGUUAGGGUUUAGUUAGGGGUUAGGGUUUUUGUUACGCCGUAAACGGAUGAUGUACGUAUUCUUUACCUCCGCCCUCUUAGUUUCACGUCCACGAAGCGCUUAGCUUUACGGCGCAUCAUCAUAUUCCAAAACCUGUUGGCUUAAGGCCUCUCUACAAAAUUCUAGAGAGGUCUUAAACUAACAGGUUUUGGGAUUUGAUGGUACGCCGUAAAGCUAAGCGCUUUAUGGACGUAAAGCCAAAGGUAAUCUCAAAAACCGGCCGAUUAUAACUUUUAUAUUAAAAUAAAUAAAUAAAAUUUUGCAGCAUUCAUUUAUUGUGAAAGGAUCCCUUCCAUGGGAUCCCAAAACAGUCAUGAUUCGUCUUGUAAAAUUUCCUCCAGAGGCUCUACACUUGUUUCUCUUCUUGUAAACCCAUAUUUGGUUUUAAUGCCACUCCAUAAUCACAAGCAAAGCACCAGAAUACACGAUCCUUUCUCCACAGAACAUUAGUUAAUCCUCUGGAAUUCCUUGCCAAUGUCUCCCCCACCACUCCGUAUAGCUUAUUAGCUGCACCAGUUUCACCGGUGUUGGACGUCUCUGCAAAACUAUGAAAACACCCCUUCCACCAGAUAAAACCUUGAUUUAAAAAUAAAAGACGCUACGACAAUUAAA
Long non-coding RNA from Octopus bimaculoides (California two-spot octopus), 2049 nucleotides. RefSeq lists it as uncharacterized. The record is from RefSeq and is a predicted model, not a curated record. NCBI's taxonomy places the organism in Eukaryota, Metazoa, Mollusca, Cephalopoda, Octopoda, Octopodidae.